RNAcentral lists this transfer RNA (72 nucleotides) under Blattabacterium sp. (Blatta orientalis) str. Tarazona. Its description in RNAcentral is "tRNA-Thr (GGT) (tRNA-Thr-GGT-1-1)". It matches the Rfam family "tRNA". From Rfam's summary of the family: Transfer RNA (tRNA) molecules are approximately 80 nucleotides in length. Their secondary structure includes four short double-helical elements and three loops (D, anti-codon, and T loops). Lineage: Bacteria; Pseudomonadati; Bacteroidota; Flavobacteriia; Flavobacteriales; Blattabacteriaceae. The record is from RNAcentral.
GCCAAUGUAGCUCAGGGGUAGAGCACUUCCUUGGUAAGGAAGAGGUCACGGGUUCAAAUCCCGCCGUUGGCU